This 134-nucleotide ribosomal RNA is filed under the name Escherichia coli. RNAcentral's name for it is "partial 23S ribosomal RNA". It matches the Rfam family "Bacterial large subunit ribosomal RNA", at positions 2797 to 2925 of the family's 2925-position model. Lineage: Bacteria; Pseudomonadati; Pseudomonadota; Gammaproteobacteria; Enterobacterales; Enterobacteriaceae. The record is from RNAcentral.
CCCCGAGAUGAGUUCUCCCUGACCCUUUAAGGGUCCUGAAGGAACGUUGAAGACGACGACGUUGAUAGGCCGGGUGUGUAAGCGCAGCGAUGCGUUGAGCUAACCGGUACUAAUGAACCGUGAGGCUUAACCUU